This 2597-nucleotide long non-coding RNA is filed under the name Homo sapiens (human). Its description in RNAcentral is "HSALNT0106548". Lineage: Eukaryota; Metazoa; Chordata; Mammalia; Primates; Hominidae. The record is from RNAcentral.
GGAGGAGAGGAAAUGGGGGCAAGGUGCUACAGACUGGCCCCAGCCUCUCCCAGGCCCCUUGCCUGCCACCCCCAGCCAUGCGGCUUCUCCUGUGGCCUGCUCUGGCUGGAAUCCACUCUGCUCGCCACCCCCCGUUCCCUGGGUAGGGAUCCCUCACCCGUGCGCAUGGUGGAAAAGAAGAGCAGCCAGAAGAGGCAGAGGAUGGGCGCGGCCACCACCUGGUUCACAGCCCCCGAGUGGAUCUUCUUGUCCAGCUUGGCCGGCAGGUUGUUCUGGUCCUGAGAGUGCUGAAGGGUUGGCCCCCUCCUCCUGCCCGGGCCCCAGGACGGGAUAGUGCCCCGUGCCCCAGCGUGAUCACAGAACUUCAGCUUCCUCCGCUACAACCCCUCAUUCUACUCUCCUCAUCAGGAAUUCUACUAUUGGAAAUCUAGUCAUUUGAAUCAACAAGCAUCUUCUUAAAACCCGUAUCAUUUUUCUCUAACCCUGUCCCUAAACAGAUACGUAUAAAUUAAGGGACAAGUUCUAUUUCCCCAGAGGCUGAGGGAUAGGGAGUUUCUAAUGAGGACAAGGAAGUUAGUUUGGGAACUUGGAGCCUUCAAUAACCAGGGAGGGUUGGUUAAGGAGUUAGGAUGUUAUUAGGGAGGAAAGUAGAGGCUACCAGUGGGGGUGAUGGUUAAAGAGAAACUUUGCUAAACUUCAAAAAGGAAGAGAGACCUGGCCAAGUCACAUAGCUCAGAUACAGCAGACUAUCUCCAUGAGUGGCAAGGACCCAUCCCACCCUGGAAUCCAAGUCUUUCCUGAGUUUACAGGGUGGUGUAAAAGUGUGCACAUGGAUGCCUGUGUGGGAGUGUGUGUGUGAACAUGUCAGCACGUAUGUGAUCUGUGUCCAAGCACAUCCCGCUGAGGGAAGGCACAGGUGUGGGUAAGUAUGGCCAUGUUGGUGUGACUUUGCCCUGGGGCCCACAUGCCAGCUGGGUCUGGCCUGAGCUGAUGGCUCUCCCCCUCCUCCCCACAGGCCAGGCCCCAGACUGAGCCAGGGACCGGGCGGGAGCCCCGAGGGGCCGGUCUCCCAGCCGGGCCCUGUCCACUCGGGGUGGCCUGCAUUCCUAGAGUGGAGAGGGUGAAGUCCUGGGUCCCCCCGAGCAGGGCCCAGGUCCCGGCGCGGCGGUGCCUACCGAAGGGCACGAUGAUGGGGCAGGUGAUACUGUAGGUCAUGACCACCGUGAAGACGCACAUCAUCCAGGCGUAGGCUGCGCCAAACUGGAACUCGUAGGCCUGAUGCUGGGGGGGAGACGGGCAGGAGGAUGGCUCAGGGAGGCAGGGACUGACCAGAGGGGCAGGGAAGGAGGGAGGGGGAAGGGAGCCAGGACCUCUGGGGCCGGAAAAGAAGCCAUGGGGAACAGGACCUAAUGUCUAGGGUAGGGUAGGGCAGAGCAGAUGGAGAGAGGGGCUAUGGCCGAGAGGAGGGUCAGGGCGGUUGCAGUGAUGGGGCACGGAGAGGGGCCUUCAAGGGUCGGGGCCUGGCAGGUAGGGGGCAAGAGUUGGGUGGACUUGAGAGUGGGAUGCCCAGAGCCCUCUUAUUAAGACAGAGGGACCCUAGCGCUAGGGACCCAGAUCUCCCCAACUCCCAUCAUAGAAUGCUACUGUCAGAACUGGCAGGGGCCUUCAGGGUUACCUAUGUCCACCCAUGGCAGAAUACGAAGGCCCCAGAUAUGGGAAGGGGAUGGCCCGGAUCCACCGUGAGUCAACUGUACUCCCCAAGUCUCAGCCCUCCUGUGCCCCUCAACCCUAGCGCGAUGGCUGCUGUUUCUUGUUGGGCCACCAGGGGGCGCUGUGCGGGCCGCUGCUGCCCCAGGCGGCCGUACCCGCUUCACGUUGCGCCUCUCGGCGGCCGAGCGCGCCAGGCAGAGCCGGAUCAUGUACAUGAGCAGGCCUGGGAUGCGCAGCAGGUCCAUGGCGUUGCCGAUAAAGGCUGAGGCAAUGACGUAGUUCACGAAGAAGGCGCCGUUGUCGGGCAGGAACACACACCUGCGGGCACCAGGUGCUCCAGCACUGCACCCUUGGGGUGACCCGGUGGCCGCCCGCCCACUGCCAGAACUACAGCACCCAACACCUCCACCACCAACAUGCUUCUUCCAUGUGGACACCCCCAGCUUAGCGCCCCAAGCACCUGUGCCCUGUUCCCCCCAGAGACAUACAGAGUGGCAACAGACAGCUCCAAGAACUUGUGCCCCAUAAAGACCCAUGGAGAGAGUGCUCAAGACCACCUAAGGCUGCUAGAAUGUUCAGGGGAGAACUGUCCAGGACCCCCAAAGACAACCCAAUGAGACCCUCAAAGAACCCAAAGGCUGACAGCCCCAGGAACACCCAGAAGAUUCCCCCACUUAGACCAUAACUCGAGUUACCCCCAGAGUGUGACAUGAGCCUCAGAUACCUCCACAAACAAGCUUUGAGACCCUUCCCGCAACAUCUCUGGGGGAGCCCAGGAACCUUUAUCAGUGCCUGAGAUGCCCCAAGUGUGACUCAAAGAUCACCACAGAUGGCCUACAGCAAAACCCCUAGAGUUUGUGCCCACAGCCAUGGUGCAUGACCUUCAA